RNAcentral lists this ribosomal RNA (504 nucleotides) under uncultured bacterium. RNAcentral's name for it is "partial 16S ribosomal RNA". It matches the Rfam family "Bacterial small subunit ribosomal RNA", at positions 28 to 523 of the family's 1533-position model. The record is from RNAcentral.
GAUAAACGCUAGCGGCAGGCUUAACACAUGCAAGUCGAGGGGUAGCAUAGAUUGUAGCAAUACAAUUGGAGGCGACUGGAGCACGGGUGCGUAACGCGUAUGCAACCUACCCGUCACAGGGGGAUAAUCCGGAGAAAUCUGGUAUAAUCCACCAUAACAUAUGGAUAGGCAACGGUUCAUGUUGAAAUUUCCGGAGGUGUCGGAUGGGGAUGCGUAGCUUUAGCUUGUUGGUGAGGUAACGGCUCACCAAGGCGACGAUGCUUAGGGAGACUGAGAGGUUUUCCCCCCACACUGGUACUGGGACACUGACCGGGCUCCUACGGGAGAUAGCAGUGAGGAAUAUUGGCCAAUGGGCUCAAGCCUGAACCAGGCAUGCCGCGUGCAGGAUGACGGCUCUAUGAGUUGUAAACUGCUUUUGUACGAGGGUAAAGUGGAUUACGUGUGACCUUUUGAAAGUAUCGUACGAAUAAGGAUCGGCUAACUCCGUGCCAGCCGCCGCAGUAA